UACGAAGGGGGCUAGCGUUGCUCGGAAUUACUGGGCGUAAAGCGCACGUAGGCGGGUUGUUACGUCGGGGGUGAAAUCCUGGAGCUCAACUCCAGAACUGCCUUCGAAACUGACGAUCUUGAGUUCGGGAGAGGUGAGUGGAACUGCGAGUGUAGAGGUGAAAUUCGUAGAUAUUCGCAAGAACACCAGUGGCGAAGGCGGCUCACUGGCCCGAUACUGACGCUGAGGUGCGAAAGCGUGGGGAGCAAACAGG
RNAcentral lists this ribosomal RNA (253 nucleotides) under uncultured bacterium. RNAcentral's name for it is "partial 16S ribosomal RNA". It matches the Rfam family "Bacterial small subunit ribosomal RNA", at positions 524 to 776 of the family's 1533-position model. The record is from RNAcentral.